CGCAGCUGGCUACAUCCAGUGGGCCUGGCUGGCCUGGGCUUGUGGAUCAGGGCUGGUCGAUGGGCCUGGCUGGCCAUUGAUGAAGCAGGGGAGUAAGCAGGGCUGGGCAGGCCAGGCAGCAAAGUGGUGGCCAGGCAGCCUGGGCGAUGGGCUGGUGGCGCAUCUCUAGGCCUAGUAGGAAGAUCAGUGGUUUAGGUAGGGGACCUGGGUGGUAGGGGACUUGGAUAUGGGUGGCCAAGGGGCUUGGUUGUGUGCUGGACUGAUGCUAGAUCUGGUGUUUACCAUGGACCUGGGGAACUGGUGGGUGAUGGACCAGGUGGGACAGGCGAGUGCUAGUGGCCUGUUGGGUAUCAGAAACUGGGCAGCUGUUGGACCUGGUGGGUUCUAAGGACCCAGGGAGCUUGGAGGGCUCUGGGGACUGGGCUGGUUCUGGGACCCAGCAGAGACCAGCCUGAGUGGCCCCAGGAACUCAGAUGGCACUGGACUGGCAGUCUCUGGGGCCCACUGGUCGGACUGCUGUAGCUGGCCUGGUUAUUCUUUGUGAGCCACAGGACUCACAGGGUUGGGGAGAGUUGGGGUCCCUCUAGCAUCUCCAACUUGUGUCCUUCUGGACAAAAUGCUC
RNAcentral lists this long non-coding RNA (622 nucleotides) under Marmota monax (woodchuck). The record is from RNAcentral. Lineage: Eukaryota; Metazoa; Chordata; Mammalia; Rodentia; Sciuridae.